Molecule: long non-coding RNA, 1212 nt
Organism: Entelurus aequoreus (snake pipefish)
Lineage: Eukaryota; Metazoa; Chordata; Actinopteri; Syngnathiformes; Syngnathidae
Exons: 2
Source: RefSeq, a predicted model, not a curated record
AAUAACUGGUGGGAGGAGCAAUGACUUUAAUUGAGUGACACGUCAACAUCGUGCUUGAGGGUGGCCGUCAUGAAUAGACUAACAACUGGCGAGAGGAGCGAUGACGUCAUGUCAACAUUGUGUGUGGCGUUUUGGAUGAUUUCAAGUGUGUCCAUUUCAUUGCGCAAGGUGGCUGUUAUCACGACCAACUUGCGGGAGGACCGAUGGCAAAUAAUGGGUCCUCUUAGCAGCGACAGAGUGGAUGUCAAUAAUAUCAUCAUCACUUGGCGAGGUGACUUCCAAAAAGUGCGUACUGUCCCUUUAAGAAGCGCCACACCCGGUAACACCUUUGUCACCAUGGCAACACACAACUCUUGUAAAUAGCACUUGGUCAACACACAAAUGUUGUCACAAUUUGUAUCAAUGACAAAGUUUCCAGCGACUGAAGACGAAAGUUGUUGACGUUGGAAGAAGAGCGCUCUGAAGAUACUGAUAAAGCUCCUUCAAGAUACUGAUAAAGCUCCUUCAAGAUACUGAUAAAGCUCCUUCAAGAUACUGAUAAAGCUCCUUCAAGAUACUGAUAAAGCUCCUUCAAGAUACUGAUAAAGCUCCUUCAAGAUACUGAUAAAGCUCGUUGAAGAGCAGUCAACCUGAUAAAUACUCUUCAUGGAUGUCAUCUUUUCAAAAUGUGUUGAUGCUACAGAUUGAAACAUCUAAACAUUCUUUUCACGUGACAUACCCUCAAUUCCGGACUAUAAGCCGCAACUUUUUUUCCCUACGCUUUGAACCCUGCAGCUUAUAAAACAGUGCGGCUAAUUCAUGGAUUUUUCUUGGCUGACGGCCAUAAUGCAUGUCGUUUUUUGUUUUUUUAAACGAGCAAAUACACCGAGAAGGUGUUUUAUUGUUUGUGCUAUGGCGCCAUCUUUUGGACGAGUCCGCAGCGUUUCUACUCGUGCGGAUUCUUCAUUCAUCGCCCCCAAGCGACGUUUGUAAGUUGUACAAUUUAACUAAAACUAUUCUUACUUAUUAAACCAUCCCACGUGUGAUGUCUGUCGGAGUGUUUUCAUGCAUAUUUGCACGUGCUAUCGUCACGUCAUCAAGCUAGCGUCGUUAGCAUCAGCUAAUGUGCUAACACGUUAACGGGUGUCUGUGUUAGUAUUAUUAACUUACAACAGGAUUCUUCUUGUAUGGUUUCACUUUCACAAAUCCCUCAGUAAAUUCACCAAAAUGUCA